GCUUGGGUGUUCCCCCACACUCAAGCUUAGAGUGUUCACCAUCUUUUCAGCCAUAAAAAUAUGAGUGGCACCAAUGUCCACCAUUGUUGAAAUCUGAUGUCUAUUGACUUCUAUAGACUUGAAUAUUAGUUUAUGAUGAAUUUUGACCUUCAUCACAUGAAUCGCAUCAAGUAAUUAUAAUGGUACAACUCUUUGUAGACC
RNAcentral lists this long non-coding RNA (201 nucleotides) under Elaeis guineensis (African oil palm). RNAcentral's name for it is "long non-coding RNA (EGUI_LNC026303)". The record is from RNAcentral. Lineage: Eukaryota; Viridiplantae; Streptophyta; Magnoliopsida; Arecales; Arecaceae.